AAAAAAGCAAACCGUGGGUUUGCGUGCCAACGUUUGACUGUCCGUCUUAUAUGAAAUUUUUUAAUAAUUAGUAUUUUUAUUGUUGUUAGAUGAUAAAAUAUGAUUAAUACUUUAUGCGUGACUUAUUUUUUUAAUUUUUUUCAUAAUUUUUUUAAAUAAGACGGACGGUCAAACGUUGGACACGGAAACCAGGGUUUGUCUUUUU
Molecule: microRNA precursor, 205 nt
Filed under: Oryza rufipogon (brownbeard rice)
Lineage: Eukaryota; Viridiplantae; Streptophyta; Magnoliopsida; Poales; Poaceae
Description: MIR812 microRNA precursor family
Rfam family: MIR812 microRNA precursor family
Source: Rfam by way of RNAcentral